Long non-coding RNA from Pseudoliparis swirei, 437 nucleotides. RefSeq lists it as uncharacterized. The record is from RefSeq and is a predicted model, not a curated record. Lineage: Eukaryota; Metazoa; Chordata; Actinopteri; Perciformes; Liparidae. The transcript has 2 exons.
UAACAGCCGUGCGCUCGGUGGAGGAGUAUCUCGAUGACAAAGGUCUGAAGGUCAAGACACAGAGACACAAAGAAAGGAAACGCCUCGGCAGAAGGAUUGUUCUGGUUUAAAGAGCACGCCAUAAGCAGAGGACAGAAACAACAGCGACGGGACCGAGCGGCUGCCAGGCUGGAAGAAAUAUGAGCAGCCAGGAUACGGGAGCCUGAACGCCUCCCUCAGGGGCGGGGGGAGGGCAGGCGGAGAGUGCUCCAUGCCUCUAUCUGGUGGAGAGAAAGAGGUACUACAACAAUGCUCCCCUCAAGCAACAGUAAAGGAAGUCACCUGAGGACUGCACUUCUCCACCUGGUGGACAACCAGAGGAAUUACAACAACAACAACAACAACAACAACCAGGGCCCUUUUUCUCGUACGUGGCUCAAUAAAGUCCAUAAAAUGUC